This is a long non-coding RNA of Toxotes jaculatrix (banded archerfish), 632 nucleotides long. RefSeq lists it as uncharacterized. The record is from RefSeq and is a predicted model, not a curated record. Lineage: Eukaryota; Metazoa; Chordata; Actinopteri; Toxotidae. The transcript has 6 exons.
GCUGGAGGAGCCGGAGAGAUGGAGGUGGAGGAGGUGGAGCAGAGCGUUUUAAUGAGUGUAAACCUGGCUGAGUGUUCGGCGUCUGUGGAGUCCAGGAGUCCAGCGUCUCCUGCAGCAUAAACGAGGUUUCCACGUGUCACCACAGAGAAUGACCUUCAGCUGGCCGAGAGGCGGGAACUCAUCGGCUCCGCUGCGCCUGGGGGCAGGUGGGCAGUAAAUGUGGGGCAGCUCAGCACAGCCAGUGGGUGAGUGUGAGUGGCGGAGCUGUCGUGUCCAUCAGAGGUGGUGAUGAUCCGAGCUUGUGAAGCUGGGUGAGAGUCUCUGCCUCAGUGCUUCAGAGUUUCCUCCCGGCUGAAGGCUUCAUCGGUGAUGAUGGUCACUGCCAGGUCGACGAGAAACGAGGAACCGAGCUGCGUCGGUGUCGCUCGACCCUCGAUUCAGGAGGAGGAUUUUUCCACCUCGUUGCAUCAUUAAAGUUGUUUUACACUUUUUUUUUUCCAAAUAAAGAUCCAGCUGUUUCUAACUGAAGUUGAAUUACAUGUUUCUUUGAAGUAGACAGUUCAUGUUCUGCAUGUUCUAAUGGGACUGUUCUCAGAGCUCUGAAUAUAAAUAAAAAACUUUAUUUAAACAAA